Molecule: ribosomal RNA, 381 nt
Filed under: uncultured bacterium
Lineage: Bacteria
Description: bacterial SSU rRNA
Rfam family: Bacterial small subunit ribosomal RNA
Source: RNAcentral
AUUGAACGCUGGCGGCAUGCCUUACACAUGCAAGUCGAACGGCAGCACGGGGGCAACCCUGGUGGCGAGUGGCGAACGGGUGAGUAAUGCAUCGGAACGUGCCCAGUAGUGGGGGAUAACUAGUCGAAAGAUUAGCUAAUACCGCAUACGACCUACGGGUGAAAGGCGGGGAUUCGCAAGAACCUCGCGCUAUCGGAGCGGCCGAUGUCUGAUUAGCUAGUUGGCGGGAAAAGCCCACCAAGGCUUCGAUCAGUAGCUGGUCCUGAGAGGACGACCAGGCCACACUGGGACUGAGACACGGCCCAGACUCCGUACGGGAGCAGCAGUGGGGAAUUUUGGACAAUGGGCGCAAGCCUGAUCCAGCCAUGCCGCGUGCGGGAA